UAACUUAGAAACAUUGGAUACUGAUUAACAGGAGAAUUUAUAACUAGUUAGUAACUAACUUUCAUCAUGCAACCAGUAGAUACAGUUUUCAGAGGCAGAGUUCAGAGAAGACACUAUAACUAUUUAGCUCAGAAGGAUAUGGCUUUAUCCAUAUAUUAUGAUGGACCUACCAUGGAUAGGUUAGGUAUCCUAGAUAGCAUCUUGUUUAUGUUUAACCAGCUAGGUUGGGAGAAUG
This 235-nucleotide long non-coding RNA is filed under the name Lathyrus oleraceus (garden pea). Its description in RNAcentral is "Pisum sativum (pea) long non-coding RNA (PSAT_LNC024900)". Lineage: Eukaryota; Viridiplantae; Streptophyta; Magnoliopsida; Fabales; Fabaceae. The record is from RNAcentral.